Molecule: ribosomal RNA, 450 nt
Filed under: uncultured bacterium
Lineage: Bacteria
Description: partial 16S ribosomal RNA
Rfam family: Bacterial small subunit ribosomal RNA
Source: RNAcentral
GUGGGGAAUUUUGGACAAUGGGGGCAACCCUGAUCCAGCCAUUCCGCGUGAGUGAAGAAGGCCUUCGGGUUGUAAAGCUCUUUCGGCAGGAACGAAACGGUGAGCUCUAACAUAGCUCGCUAAUGACGGUACCUGAAGAAGAAGCACCGGCUAACUACGUGCCAGCAGCCGCGGUAAUACGUAGGGUGCGAGCGUUAAUCGGAAUUACUGGGCGUAAAGCGUGCGCAGGCGGUUGUGUAAGACAGGUGUGAAAUCCCCGGGCUUAACCUGGGAACUGCACUUGUGACUGCACGGCUAGAGUAUGGCAGAGGGGGGUGGAAUUCCACGUGUAGCAGUGAAAUGCGUAGAGAUGUGGAGGAACACCGAUGGCGAAGGCAGCCCCCUGGGCCAAUACUGACGCUCAUGCACGAAAGCGUGGGGAGCAAACAGGAUUAGAUACCCUAGUAGUCC